This 596-nucleotide ribosomal RNA is filed under the name uncultured Nitrosopumilales archaeon. RNAcentral's name for it is "bacterial SSU rRNA". It matches the Rfam family "Archaeal small subunit ribosomal RNA", at positions 325 to 922 of the family's 1478-position model. Lineage: Archaea; Thermoproteati; Nitrososphaerota; Nitrososphaeria; Nitrosopumilales. The record is from RNAcentral.
ACGGGGUGCAGCAGGCGCGAAAACUUUGCAAUGUGCGAAAGCACGACAAGGUUAAUCCGAGUGAUUCCUGCUAAAGGAAUCUUUUGUUUGUCAUAAAACCACUAAUGAAUAAGGGGUGGGCAAGUUCUGGUGUCAGCCGCCGCGGUAAAACCAGCACCUCAAGUGGUCAGGAUGAUUAUUGGGCCUAAAGCAUCCGUAGCCGGCUCUGUAAGUUUUCGGUUAAAUCCAUAUGCUCAACAUAUGGGCCGCCGGGAAUACUGCAUAGCUAGGGAGUGGGAGAGGUAGACGGUACUCCGUAGGAAGGGGUAAAAUCCUUUGAUCUAUGGAUGACCACCUGUGGCGAAGGCGGUCUACCAGAACACGUUCGACGGUGAGGGAUGAAAGCUGGGGGAGCAAACCGGAUUAGAUACCCGGGUAGUCCCAGCUGUAAACUAUGCAAACUCAGUGAUGCAUUGGCUUGUGGCCAGUGCAGUGCCGCAGAGAAGUCGUUAAGUUUGCCGCCUGGGAAGUACGUACGCAAGUAUGAAACUUAAAGGAAUUGGCGGGGGAGCACCACAAGGGGUGAAGCCUGCGGUUUAAUUGGAGUCAACGCCGGA